This 253-nucleotide ribosomal RNA is filed under the name uncultured bacterium. Its description in RNAcentral is "partial 16S ribosomal RNA". It matches the Rfam family "Bacterial small subunit ribosomal RNA", at positions 57 to 305 of the family's 1533-position model. The record is from RNAcentral.
GCAAGUCGUGCGCGAAAGCCUUCGGGCGAGUAAAGCGGCGAAAGGGUGAGUAACACGUAACCAACCUACCCCCCUGAUUGGGAUAACUGCGGGAAACUGCAGGUAAUACCGAAUAGUCCUAUACGGUGGCAUCAUCGAAUAGGUAAACGGUGGCUUCGGCUGCCGCAGGGGGAGGGGGUUGCGGCCUAUCAGCUAGUUGGUGUGGUAAUGGCAUACCAAGGCAAUGACGGGUAGCCGGUCUGAGAGGAUGGUC